This 301-nucleotide ribosomal RNA is filed under the name uncultured bacterium. RNAcentral's name for it is "partial 16S ribosomal RNA". It matches the Rfam family "Bacterial small subunit ribosomal RNA", at positions 509 to 809 of the family's 1533-position model. The record is from RNAcentral.
CAGUAGCCGCGGUAAUACGUAGGGUGCAAGCGUUAAUCGGAAUUACUGGGCGUAAAGCGUGCGCAGGCGGUUCUAUAAGACAGAUGUGAAAUCCCCGGGCUCAACCUGGGAACUGCAUUUGUGACUGUAGAGCUGGAGUGCGGCAGAGGGGGAUGGAAUUCCGCGUGUAGCAGUGAAAUGCGUAGAUAUGCGGAGGAACACCGAUGGCGAAGGCAAUCCCCUGGGCCUGCACUGACGCUCAUGCACGAAAGCGUGGGGAGCAAACAGGAUUAGAUACCCCGGUAGUCCCUGUCUCUUACAC